CGGCAAGGAAAUGCUAGGUUAACCCUUUUAUGAGUAGGAAGGACAGGGACUAUUGCUUGUCUUGGGAACGACUUGUGUCCCGGUCCUGAUACACUCCUUGUUCAUUAAUCUACAUGAGAUCGGCCAAGUCAUUGAGCCUCUCUUAUAACUCAGUUUCCAUAAAACAGAAAUGCUGAAGUGUUUCAGAAAUUGAGGCAUUUGAAGCAUGUACAAAAGGACAGAAAACAUAAACUCAUGCCUGGCAGAGAGCUUCUACUCUGAAGAAACAACAACCGAAGUGUCACAGGAUGAAUCUAUGCUAUUUGGAGAGGGAGUAUACAUUUAACUUGAAGCAAUCCCUGGAAGAAAAAUUCUACUAGCAGAGAUGCUCUGAGCAGAGAGAAAGCCUGUCUAUAUAGUGAAAGAAUGAAACCAAUACAUUGAAAAAAACUGAGAAGAGAAAGAGGUAGAGACUUCAUCUGAUACAAGCAUGCUUGAAACAAGAGACACCUGUAUGAUUCCAUCUUCCCAGGAGCUAGCAGGCAGUUCUUGUUGAGUUCAAGCCAGUUGAGACCAUCAACCCUUCAACUGAGCCUGCAUGGGUGCGUAAAGUGUGACCUUUUGAUGUCAAAGGGCCAAAACCUGCACCCUCCUUUCAUGCUAAUUCAACCAUUUUCUGAACAUGCAUCCUAUGAAGAGCCAUGUAGCUCAAUUAUGCUUGUGCAGAAACCCUGAUUACCUCACCUUUCCCACCUGCCAAUCACCUUUACCCAUACUUCACACCAUCCUGCUUUCUAUCCCGCUAAUUACCCCUAAGCCCUGUUUUCAGGGAGGUGGAUUUGCGAUUUGUUCUCCUUCUCCUUGCUCAGCAGCCUGGUAAGCAAUCUCACAAAAUAAAAUCUUUUCUUUUUUGCAAAACCCACAGUCCCAAUGAUUGGUUUGCUGUCCAUGAGCAAAAUGAAGCUGGUUUGAUAUCAG
This 957-nucleotide long non-coding RNA is filed under the name Homo sapiens (human). RNAcentral describes it as "HSALNT0300711". Lineage: Eukaryota; Metazoa; Chordata; Mammalia; Primates; Hominidae. The record is from RNAcentral.